UACGGAGGAUGCAAGCGUUAUCCGGAUUUAUUGGGUUUAAAGGGUGCGCAGGUUGUUUGAUAAGUCAGUGGUGAAAGUCUGUCGCUUAACGGUAGGAUUGCCAUUGAUACUGUUAGACUCGAGUAUGGAUGAGGUAGGCGGAAUGUGUAGUGUAGCGGUGAAAUGCAUAGAUAUUACACAGAACACCGAUUGCGAAGGCAGCUUACUAAUCCAUCAUUGACGCUGAGGCACGAAAGCGUGGGGAUCAAACA
This 251-nucleotide ribosomal RNA is filed under the name uncultured prokaryote. RNAcentral describes it as "partial 16S ribosomal RNA". It matches the Rfam family "Bacterial small subunit ribosomal RNA", at positions 524 to 774 of the family's 1533-position model. The record is from RNAcentral.